GUUCUUAUAGUUGAAAUACAACGAUGGUUUUUCAUAUAA
Molecule: transfer RNA, 39 nt
Filed under: Vulpes ferrilata (Tibetan sand fox)
Lineage: Eukaryota; Metazoa; Chordata; Mammalia; Carnivora; Canidae
Description: partial tRNA-Glu
Source: RNAcentral